CAUGGGUGGCGAGUGGCGGACGGGUGAGUAAUGCAUCGGGACCUACCUAGACGUGGGGGAUAACGUAGGGAAACUUACGCUAAUACCGCAUACGUCCUACGGGAGAAAGCAGGGGACCUUCGGGCCUUGCGCGGUUAGACGGACCGAUGUUCGAUUAGCUUGUUGGUGAGGUAAUGGCUCACCAAGGCGACGAUCGAUAGCUGGUCUGAGAGGAUGAUCAGCCACACUGGAACUGAGACACGGUCCAGACUCCUACGGGAGGCAGCAGUGGGGAAUAUUGGACAAUGGGCGCAAGCCUGAUCCAGCAAUGCCGCGUGUGUGAAGAAGGCCUUCGGGUUGUAAAGCACUUUUAUCAGGAGCGAAAUACUACCGGCUAAUAUCCGGUGGGGCUGACGGUACCUGAGGAAUAAGCACCGGCUAACUUCGUGCCAGCAGCCGCGGUAAUACGAAGGGUGCAAGCGUUAAUCGGAAUUACUGGGCGUAAAGCGUGCGUAGGCGGUUUGUUAAGUCUGCUGUGAAAUCCCCGGGCUCAACCUGGGAAUGGCAGUGGAUACUGGCAAGCUAGAGUGUGUCAGAGGAUGGUGGAAUUCCCGGUGUAGCGGUGAAAUGCGUAGAGAUCGGGAGGAACAUCAGUGGCGAAGGCGGCCAUCUGGGACAACACUGACGCUGAGGCACGAAAGCGUGGGGGAGCAAACAGGAUUAGAUACCCCUGAUAGUCCACGCCCUAAACGAUGCGAAACUGGCAUGUUGGUCUCAACUCGGAGAUCAGUGUCGAAGCUAACGCGUUAAGUUCGCCCGCCUGGGGAGUACGGUCGCAGACUGGAAACUCAAGGCAGUUGACGGGGGCCCGCCACGAGCCGGCUGCAAGCUAUGUGCAUUAAGUUCGGAUGC
This 891-nucleotide ribosomal RNA is filed under the name Dyella sp. Its description in RNAcentral is "bacterial SSU rRNA". It matches the Rfam family "Bacterial small subunit ribosomal RNA", at positions 83 to 1250 of the family's 1533-position model. The record is from RNAcentral. Lineage: Bacteria; Pseudomonadati; Pseudomonadota; Gammaproteobacteria; Lysobacterales; Rhodanobacteraceae.